RNAcentral lists this ribosomal RNA (253 nucleotides) under uncultured bacterium. Its description in RNAcentral is "partial 16S ribosomal RNA". It matches the Rfam family "Bacterial small subunit ribosomal RNA", at positions 524 to 776 of the family's 1533-position model. The record is from RNAcentral.
GACAGAGGGUGCGAACGUUGUUCGGAAUUACUGGGCGUAAAGCGCGUGUAGGCGGCAGCGUGUGUCGGGCGUGAAAUCCCACGGCUCAACCGUGGAAGUGCACUCGAAACUGCGCAGCUUGAGUCCUGGAGAGGAAGGUGGAAUGCUUGGUGUAGAGGUGAAAUUCGUAGAUAUCAAGCGGAACACCGGUGGCGAAGGCGACCUUCUGGACAGUGACUGACGCUGAGACGCGAAAGCGUGGGGAGCAAACAGG